GGGCACGGGGGGAGGAAUUGGCGGGGGAGCNCCGCAACGGGAGGAGCGUGCGGUUUAAUUGGAUUCAACACCGGAAAACUCACCAAGGGCGACUAUUACAUGAAAGCCAGGCUAAUGACCUUGCUUGAUUUUUAGAGAGGUGGUGCAUGGCCGUCGUCAGUUCGUACCGUAAGGCGUUCUCUUAAGUGAGAUAACGAACGAGACCCUCAUCUAUAAUUGCUACUUCAUUCUCCGGAAUGGAGGCACAUUAUCGAGACCGCUGGCGCUAAGUCAGAGGAAGGAGAGGUCAACGGUAGGUCAGUAUGCCCCGAAUCUCUUGGGCUACACGCGCGCUACAAAGGGCGGGACAAUGGGCUACGACGCCGAAAGGCGAAGUCAAUCUCGAAACCCGUCCGUAGUUCGGAUUGAGGCUUGUAACUCANCCUCAUGAAGCUGGAUUCCGUAGUAAUCGCGAAUCAAAAACUCGCGGUGAAUAUGCCCCUGCUCCUUGCACACACCGC
This 500-nucleotide ribosomal RNA is filed under the name uncultured archaeon. RNAcentral describes it as "bacterial SSU rRNA". It matches the Rfam family "Archaeal small subunit ribosomal RNA", at positions 860 to 1343 of the family's 1478-position model. The record is from RNAcentral.